UGGGGAAUUUUCCGCAAUGGGCGAGAGCCUGACGGAGCAACGCCGCGUGAGGGAGGACGGCCUGUGGGUUGUAAACCUCUUUUCUCAGGGAAGAAGAUCUGACGGUACCUGAGGAAUCAGCAUCGGCUAACUCCGUGCCAGCAGCCGCGGUAAGACGGAGGAUGCAAGCGUUAUCCGGAAUUAUUGGGCGUAAAGCGUCCGUAGGUGGCAUAGAAAGUCUGCUGUCAAAGCUCAAAGCUCAACUGUGAAUCGGCGGUGGAAACUACUAAGCUAGAGUGUGGUAGGGGUAGAGGGAAUUCCUAGUGUAGCGGUGAAAUGCGUAGAUAUUAGGAAGAACACCAGUGGCGAAGGCGCUCUACUGGGCCAUAACUGACACUGAUGGGCGAAAGCUAGUGGAGCGAAAGGGAUUAGAUACCCCCGUAGUCC
RNAcentral lists this ribosomal RNA (426 nucleotides) under uncultured prokaryote. Its description in RNAcentral is "bacterial SSU rRNA". It matches the Rfam family "Bacterial small subunit ribosomal RNA", at positions 355 to 796 of the family's 1533-position model. The record is from RNAcentral.